CGGACGGGUGAGUAACGCGUGGGUAACCUGCCCUGUACACACGGAUAACAUACCGAAAGGUAUGCUAAUACGGGAUAACAUAAGAAAUUCGCAUGUUUUUCUUAUCAAAGCUCCGGCGGUACAGGAUGGACCCGCGUCUGAUUAGCUAGUUGGUGAGGCAACGGCUCACCAAGGCGACGAUGCGUAGCCGACCUGAGAGGGUGAUCGGCCACAUUGGGACUGAGACACGGCCCAG
Molecule: ribosomal RNA, 235 nt
Filed under: uncultured Bacillota bacterium
Lineage: Bacteria; Bacillati; Bacillota
Description: uncultured Firmicutes bacterium partial 16S ribosomal RNA
Rfam family: Bacterial small subunit ribosomal RNA
Source: RNAcentral